UAAAAUAACCCUCUAACAUUUUAUAAUUUGCGGAGUAACCUUGCCUAAUUUAUAUUUGGCAAACUAACCUAACCCUAUUUCCGCCAUAUAGGAGCCACGUGGGAUUUUUUUUGAAAAGCGGCAAAUCGUUCACUGCUGACACCAAUUUCUUUUAAAGGUAGCGAAUCAUUCACCGCUUUCUCUCAUUUAUUUUAAAGGCGGUAAAUCGUUAACCGUUUUCUCCCAUUUCUUUUAAAGGCGGUGAAUCGUUCGCCGCAUUCAUUAAAAUUGUGCGUGGAUUAUAUAGGAAAUAGAAAAAGUGAGGUUGUUAAGACUAUAUGUGGAUCAUUAGAAUUUUUAUUUGAUUGUUAGGAUUGUAUGGAUAGAUUAUUAGGAUUUUCAGAUGUCACGUCCCGAGACCCGCCUAUUUGGUCGGAUUCGGGCCCGCAAACAGACCGCCGAAUGGACAAAGUUUCCCCUAUACGUCCUAGGCAUCGCAAUCAAUACAAUUCGCGAGAUUCCAACCAGGAACAGAUUUCAAGCAGAGAUUGCAUAAAGAAGUAUUAAAAACAUAAAACAACUAAAUUAUUACAAGCAUUCACAUCACAUGCUUUUACAUAUUACAUUUUCAUUUUUUUUUCUUCCAAAUACAAUCAAGAUUAUUACAAUAUUGUUUUUCUUCUUUUCUACAC
This 671-nucleotide long non-coding RNA is filed under the name Ananas comosus (pineapple). RNAcentral describes it as "long non-coding RNA (ACOM_LNC012030)". Lineage: Eukaryota; Viridiplantae; Streptophyta; Magnoliopsida; Poales; Bromeliaceae. The record is from RNAcentral.